CGCGCCGGGGAGGGGAGACAGGCGGGGAGCGCGCGCCUGGGCUCGCCGCCUCCUGCCUUCGACCCCGGAACCCUUCCGCAGAGCGACGGUUGAGGCUCGAGAAUCAGAAAGUGGUGAUAAAUGCUGACAUCCUGGUUCUCCGUACGUCAGUGGAAGGAAAGGUGUUACUUGACACUUAAUGAAGGGACUUAAUGAGUCCAUUGUUUCCCCAUGACUGAAGUUUGUAACACGGAGCCAAUAGUGUUCCGCCAUAACAACUCCCUCUGAGGCCUUUUUGUUCUGGCUCUGAUAUACCAACUACUGCACUGUACUUCCACGUUCACCAAAUGCAGUGCCUGGCAAGAGCAAAUGUUGAAUGAAUUAACGUCUACCACGACUCUUCAAGAGCAGAGGACUUCAAGUAGAGACUGCCUGCUGAAACGGGCUGCAAACUGAAGACCUCACAAGCCUUAUCAUCUGAAUCUGUGGUUCUCAUUCCUUGUUGCACAUUCACACCACCUGGAUAUCUUUCACAAAAUAUGUAAACCCUAAAGACUCCCUCAGGUAUUCUAAUUCAACUGAUCUCAUUUAGAUUCAGGCUAUUCUGUAAGUUUAUUCUAUCUUUCAUUAGCCUGCUUCCGAAGAAGACAAUAACAAAUGAAUUUUUCAGAACCACCUGUUCCUGUGCCGGGCCCUCCAGUUGGCGCCACUCACAAACAUCUCGUGACAUAACCACUUUUAAGAGUCUUCUUUACAGUCCGACAUAAAAGAAGAAGGAACAAAGGGAAUUUUUCAUGGCAUCAGGAUCAAAACUGCCGCUGUUGUACAAGAGCUCAGUUUUUCAUACUGGUCACUCCAGUUUUGGGCCACCAAGACAACUCCAGAAACAUCUCUAGCACACAAAGACAGCAUCAGGCCAGUUUUCACUAGGAUGUUCAUUCGAGUACUGCACCCCCCCCCCAUUGAAACUGACUCUAAUCAAGCCUCUAGAUAUAACUAACAUUCUAUAGAAAUUGUGAGUCAUAAAGGAAUAUCACAAACAACACCAGGAGGAUGCAAUCAGCCAAAUCCAAAAUGUGGGAACUUCUACAGGGCAAAUAACCAAUUCCAAAAAAUAGCUAAGGGGAACUGGUAUAAAUCAAAAGAGACAUAAGAGCUAUCUCCACAACCUGUAAUACGCAUACCUUGUUUGGAUCUGGAUUCAAACAAAGAAAUGUAAAAAAACCUCUUGAGACAAUUAGGGGAAAUUUAGUCCAAAUUGGAUAUCAAAUGAUACCAAGAAUUUUUUGUUGAU
Molecule: long non-coding RNA, 1273 nt
Organism: Balaenoptera acutorostrata (minke whale)
Lineage: Eukaryota; Metazoa; Chordata; Mammalia; Artiodactyla; Balaenopteridae
Exons: 3
Source: RefSeq, a predicted model, not a curated record